GAUGAACGCUGGCUACAGGCUUAACACAUGCAAGUCGAGGGGAAACGACGGGGAAGCUUGCUUCCCCGGGCGUCGACCGGCGCACGGGUGAGUAACGCGUAUCCAACCUGCCUCUGACUGAGGGAUAACCCGUCGAAAGUCGGCCUAAUACCUCAUGGCAUCGUCUGCGGGCAUCCAACGACGAUUAAAGAUUUCAUCGGUCAGGGAUGGGGAUGCGUCUGAUUAGCUUGUUGGCGGGGUAACGGCCCACCAAGGCUACGAUCAGUAGGGGUUCUGAGAGGAAGGUCCCCCACAUUGGAACUGAGACACGGUCCAAACUCCUACGGGAGGCAGCAGUGAGGAAUAUUGGUCAAUGGGCGAGAGCCUGAACCAGCCAAGUAGCGUGCAGGAUGACGGCCCUAUGGGUUGUAAACUGCUUUUAUGCGGGGAUAAAGUGAGGGACGUGUCCUUCAUUGCAGGUACCGCAUGAAUAAGGACCGGCUAAUUCCGUG
RNAcentral lists this ribosomal RNA (491 nucleotides) under uncultured bacterium. RNAcentral describes it as "partial 16S ribosomal RNA". It matches the Rfam family "Bacterial small subunit ribosomal RNA", at positions 28 to 507 of the family's 1533-position model. The record is from RNAcentral.